Molecule: long non-coding RNA, 257 nt
Filed under: Pan troglodytes (chimpanzee)
Lineage: Eukaryota; Metazoa; Chordata; Mammalia; Primates; Hominidae
Also listed under: 1 other name
Description: lincRNA
Source: RNAcentral
GCCGGGCGGCCUCAAAGUUCUGACAUCACAGGGCGGUUCCUGAAGUGGACGUAGUUAUUAAAUGCUGUUUUCCAUGACCGUCUCUGUUCUUCCCAUACGCGAAUGGCAGGCAUCCAGAUCUCCAAGAAUAGAGGAUUAGGAGAGACUCCACCACCUAUGUCCUCACAGUUAAUUAUCGAUUUGUGUCACUUGCCCAUUUUCUCACUUCCUGUUUGUGUGUCAAGGAGUAUUAAUAAAUCUUUGCCUAUUUAAAGAUA